Molecule: long non-coding RNA, 2095 nt
Filed under: Homo sapiens (human)
Lineage: Eukaryota; Metazoa; Chordata; Mammalia; Primates; Hominidae
Description: HSALNT0395307
Source: RNAcentral
AGCGUCUAGCCAUGGGUGAUCCAGAGCGACUAUCUCUUCCUCCCUGAAAAGGAAGAGAGAGGAGUUAGGACGAGAGUGCCGCAGGGUCCUCCCACACCAGCAUCCCCUCUUCUGUGGUCCCGGGUGGAUGCUGAGCCAUUGGGUGUCUCUCUCAUCUGCUAAUAGAAAUGGCACCCCGGAGAGCUGGUCUUUUCAUUCCAUUUCUCCCGACCUCCCUCAGCAAAUGCUAAUUGAAUUUCCAGUUCUGUGAGAGAGAACUGGAAUCGGAUUCCCAGGCCCCAGGGAGUGGUGCCUGGCAUAACCACUGCUCUGCAAAACAACGCUGCACUUCUGUGGGUGAAAGUGCAGCCGCUCCAUUGCUUUGCUUUGAAUGAGCACUUUUUCUCGUCAGCUAGAGGUGCCAGGGCAGCCGAGGGGAACUGCCAGCGACAACAGGAGCAACUUCUUUUUCGGCGGGACCCUAGCACACCCCUUGCUACACGCGCCAGCAAAGAGCAAAGCCACGUGUCCAUCCCUGGGGACGUCCCUCCUAUGUGCCAUCUCAUCUGCCACACCAGACAAAUCAAAUGCACAGAGAGCUUUGUCUGCAAACUUUGACUUGAAGGGGUCUUAAAACCAUGCAUUUACACGUUUGGGGGACAAAUAAUUUCGAUGUUUAAAAGAGAGUUGGCAGCUAAUUGAGAUGGUGCACAGGUGUGCUGUGGCCCACGGUGUGGAGGUAGCCAGGCGUGGCCAUCCCUCUAGAAAGAGGAAUGCGUUGGUCACUCAGAAUGUCACUUAGAUCGACGAAGCAGAACUGCACUUUUUUUGCAUUCAAAUUUUUAUUCAAAGUUUAGUCUCUCUCCUUGGGUUUCCCCUCUUUUAUGAAAUGAUCAAUUUUGGCGAAGAGCCCCCAGAAAGCAAGAUAGAAAAGAAAUAUGCUCUUUACCGUGGCCGAUCAGCAACGAACCAACACUGUCCUCAUCUAAUUCUACGUCUUCCACACUGCCCAGUAACACAAAUAACCAGAGCGCAGACGCCAAGAAUCCUUCCAAGUAACGCAGCUAACAGACCAAGGUGACAGUUCUGACUUCUUGGGGGGUUUUCCAAGUACAUACGUAGCAUUAUAAACAAGCCUCUAUGUUGUGCUUACACAACUCACUCAAGGGAUUUUUGUUUUCACAAGUGAAAACGUUUAUGAAAUGCUAGCCUGCGAAGCCGCUUCAGGAACCAUCUAGUGAGAUUUCCCUCCCAAGACAGGCAGCUUUCUCACAUACCGUGGAGGCCUCCUGCCGGCCUGGGGACUGACAGGUGCAGGGCCCUGCCCCUCGAGGGCCAGCCUCUCCCUCGGGAGCGUGGGUUUUUCCUGUUUGAUCCUGGCUUAACUUGAACAUCUCUGGCAUUGGAGCUGCCCUCUGGAGUAGCCCAGAAGUUGGCACUCACCUCACCUUUUGCUGCAUUUCCAAGAGAUCAGCCUUUGGACUUCCUGGAAAGUGGUAGAACCACUGUCCUAUGAAACAAAGUGCUUCUGUGCUGAAAUGGAGUAAGUUCCCUGCAGCCUCUGGCAAGGUAACCUACCGAGCACCUCCUGGAGUAGGUGUUCCUAUCAUCCUCUCUUUAUAGCUCAGGAGCCAAAGCUCAGCCAGCCCGAAGGAGCCAGGAUUAGAGCCUGCAUGGAUGCAACAGUCACGCUUCUCUCUAUUACGUGUCUUGCAACUUGGAGUCACAUGAUCUCAGCAUCUGAUCCACCCUGGGCUCAGAACCUCCCAGAACCUCCCAGAAUCGAGGCUCACGGCAGAGGUUCUGCACUCACCAAGGACGCGGGGGGACCAUGUCUGUGCUCAUGUGGAUCCCCGCUGCUGGGCAGAGCACACCACACAUCCAGACUCAACAAAAUACAUGGAGUCAAAGGUCAGGUGACUGAAUCAAUGAGUAUGUUACACACCAAGAAAGACCCCUCCUCUCUGCACCCCGGGGAGCAGCCCCAGAAGCCUGGUCUCCUCCAGGAUGAAAAUGCAAACGCAGGUGCCUGGGGGCUCCCAGAGCCUUUGGCUUCACGGUUCCCUCCCGGCCCUGCCUGGAGCUUCAUGUGCCUCCCCUUUUGCUUAAUGAGAGC